CCACCCGUUUCCAGUUGGGUUUGGGAAAUGUGGGGUUAAUUCCCGCAAGGGGCGCACCCUUUUUCUUUUGUUCCAAGGGGUUAGGCCGGGAACUCAAAGGAGACUGCCAGUGAUAAACUGGAGGAAGGUGGGGAUGACGUCAAGUCAUCAUGGCCCUUACGAGUAGGGCUACACACGUGCUACAAUGGUGUAUACAAAGAGAAGCGACCUAGCGAGAGCAAGCGGACCUCAUAAAGUACGUCGUAGUCCGGAUUGGAGUCUGCAACUCGACUCCAUGAAGUCGGAAUCGCUAGUAAUCGUAGAUCAGAAUCCUACGGUGAAUACGUUCCCGGGCCUUGUACACACCCCCCGUCACCCCAUGGGAGUGGGUUGCCAAAGAAGUAGGUGGCUAACCCCAAGGGAGGGCGCUCACCAACU
RNAcentral lists this ribosomal RNA (417 nucleotides) under bacterium 28S433. RNAcentral's name for it is "bacterial SSU rRNA". It matches the Rfam family "Bacterial small subunit ribosomal RNA", at positions 1041 to 1462 of the family's 1533-position model. The record is from RNAcentral.